This 73-nucleotide transfer RNA is filed under the name Thermoprotei archaeon. RNAcentral's name for it is "tRNA-Ala". It matches the Rfam family "tRNA". Rfam says of the family: Transfer RNA (tRNA) molecules are approximately 80 nucleotides in length. Their secondary structure includes four short double-helical elements and three loops (D, anti-codon, and T loops). Lineage: Archaea; Thermoproteati; Thermoproteota; Thermoprotei. RNAcentral also lists the same sequence under 2 other names. The record is from RNAcentral.
GGGCCGGUAGCUCAGGUGGGAGAGCGCCCGCCUUGCACGCGGGAGGUCGGGGGUUCGAGUCCCCCCCGGUCCA